RNAcentral lists this ribosomal RNA (1672 nucleotides) under Escherichia coli. Its description in RNAcentral is "partial 23S ribosomal RNA". It matches the Rfam family "Bacterial large subunit ribosomal RNA", at positions 1273 to 2925 of the family's 2925-position model. The record is from RNAcentral. Lineage: Bacteria; Pseudomonadati; Pseudomonadota; Gammaproteobacteria; Enterobacterales; Enterobacteriaceae.
CUGGAGGUAUCAGAAGUGCGAAUGCUGACAUAAGUAACGAUAAAGCGGGUGAAAAGCCCGCUCGCCGGAAGACCAAGGGUUCCUGUCCAACGUUAAUCGGGGCAGGGUGAGUCGACCCCUAAGGCGAGGCCGAAAGGCGUAGUCGAUGGGAAACAGGUUAAUAUUCCUGUACUUGGUGUUACUGCGAAGGGGGGACGGAGAAGGCUAUGUUGGCCGGGCGACGGUUGUCCCGGUUUAAGCGUGUAGGCUGGUUUUCCAGGCAAAUCCGGAAAAUCAAGGCUGAGGCGUGAUGACGAGGCACUACGGUGCUGAAGCAACAAAUGCCCUGCUUCCAGGAAAAGCCUCUAAGCAUCAGGUAACAUCAAAUCGUACCCCAAACCGACACAGGUGGUCAGGUAGAGAAUACCAAGGCGCUUGAGAGAACUCGGGUGAAGGAACUAGGCAAAAUGGUGCCGUAACUUCGGGAGAAGGCACGCUGAUAUGUAGGUGAAGUCCCUCGCGGAUGGAGCUGAAAUCAGUCGAAGAUACCAGCUGGCUGCAACUGUUUAUUAAAAACACAGCACUGUGCAAACACGAAAGUGGACGUAUACGGUGUGACGCCUGCCCGGUGCCGGAAGGUUAAUUGAUGGGGUUAGCGCAAGCGAAGCUCUUGAUCGAAGCCCCGGUAAACGGCGGCCGUAACUAUAACGGUCCUAAGGUAGCGAAAUUCCUUGUCGGGUAAGUUCCGACCUGCACGAAUGGCGUAAUGAUGGCCAGGCUGUCUCCACCCGAGACUCAGUGAAAUUGAACUCGCUGUGAAGAUGCAGUGUACCCGCGGCAAGACGGAAAGACCCCGUGAACCUUUACUAUAGCUUGACACUGAACAUUGAGCCUUGAUGUGUAGGAUAGGUGGGAGGCUUUGAAGUGUGGACGCCAGUCUGCAUGGAGCCGACCUUGAAAUACCACCCUUUAAUGUUUGAUGUUCUAACGUUGACCCGUGAUCCGGGUUGCGGACAGUGUCUGGUGGGUAGUUUGACUGGGGCGGUCUCCUCCUAAAGAGUAACGGAGGAGCACGAAGGUUGGCUAAUCCUGGUCGGACAUCAGGAGGUUAGUGCAAUGGCAUAAGCCAGCUUGACUGCGAGCGUGACGGCGCGAGCAGGUGCGAAAGCAGGUCAUAGUGAUCCGGUGGUUCUGAAUGGAAGGGCCAUCGCUCAACGGAUAAAAGGUACUCCGGGGAUAACAGGCUGAUACCGCCCAAGAGUUCAUAUCGACGGCGGUGUUUGGCACCUCGAUGUCGGCUCAUCACAUCCUGGGGCUGAAGUAGGUCCCAAGGGUAUGGCUGUUCGCCAUUUAAAGUGGUACGCGAGCUGGGUUUAGAACGUCGUGAGACAGUUCGGUCCCUAUCUGCCGUGGGCGCUGGAGAACUGAGGGGGGCUGCUCCUAGUACGAGAGGACCGGAGUGGACGCAUCACUGGUGUUCGGGUUGUCAUGCCAAUGGCACUGCCCGGUAGCUAAAUGCGGAAGAGAUAAGUGCUGAAAGCAUCUAAGCACGAAACUUGCCCCGAGAUGAGUUCUCCCUGACUCCUUGAGAGUCCUGAAGGAACGUUGAAGACGACGACGUUGAUAGGCCGGGUGUGUAAGCGCAGCGAUGCGUUGAGCUAACCGGUACUAAUGAACCGUGAGGCUUAACCUU